This 420-nucleotide ribosomal RNA is filed under the name uncultured bacterium. RNAcentral's name for it is "bacterial SSU rRNA". It matches the Rfam family "Bacterial small subunit ribosomal RNA", at positions 355 to 776 of the family's 1533-position model. The record is from RNAcentral.
CCGAGAAUAUUCGACAAUGGGCGAAAGCCUGAUCGAGCGACGCCGCGUGCAGGAAGAAGCUCUUCGGAGUGUAAACUGCUUUUCUUCGGGAUAAAAAUCACCGCAAGGUGGCUUGAUAGUACCGAAGGAAUAAGGGGCUGCUAACUUCGUGCCAGCAGCAGCGGUAAUACGAAGGCCUCAAGCGUUAUUCGGAUUUAUUGGGCGUAAAGGGUGCGUAGGGGGUUUGGUAGGUUAGUAAUUAAAGGCUCGGGCUUAACCCGAGAAAUGUUAUUAAUACCGCCGAACUAGAGAAGGUGAGAGGUGGAUGGAACACACGGUGUAGGGGUGAAAUCCGUUGAUAUCGUGUGGAACACCAAAGGCGAAAGCAUUCCACUGGCGCUUUUCUGACCCUGAGGCACGAAAGCGUGGGGAGCAAAAAGG